AGGGACGUGGUGUUGGGUUGGCUUCUGUCGGUGUGGCUGCCCAUACUCACUGAUAACAAUAGAUUCAUUAUUGCAUUUCCCUGGGAGGAACAAGUCAUCAUUUGCUGGGACAAGCCUGACCCACUGGAAGAAUGGCUAAAUGUGUGUGUCAGAAAAAUUAGGUGACUAAUGAUGAUUUUCUCUACCAAAGGAGGAAAGCAAUCAUAUGGCCAAAUGCAGGAUGGCUGGGGAGAGUGAAGAUGAGUGAAAUGGAAAUUCCCAGAGCUGUGGAGAAAACAGAACUCAAACAGGGACAAAUCUUCAAAUUCUUUGCCUUAAAACACAAUGAAGGCAAUGGAGAAUUUCAAAUGCAGAAAGAUUCAGACAUGGGGAUUCAAUGCCUGGUUCAUAAAGGU
Molecule: long non-coding RNA, 395 nt
Organism: Melospiza melodia melodia
Lineage: Eukaryota; Metazoa; Chordata; Aves; Passeriformes; Passerellidae
Exons: 4
Source: RefSeq, a predicted model, not a curated record